This 73-nucleotide transfer RNA is filed under the name Niallia sp. RD1. Its description in RNAcentral is "tRNA-Lys". It matches the Rfam family "tRNA". Rfam says of the family: Transfer RNA (tRNA) molecules are approximately 80 nucleotides in length. Lineage: Bacteria; Bacillati; Bacillota; Bacilli; Caryophanales; Bacillaceae. The record is from RNAcentral.
GAGCCAUUAGCUCAGUCGGUAGAGCAUCUGACUUUUAAUUAGAGGGUCGGAGGUUCGAAUCCUCCAUGGCUCA